Molecule: long non-coding RNA, 257 nt
Filed under: Mustela putorius furo (domestic ferret)
Lineage: Eukaryota; Metazoa; Chordata; Mammalia; Carnivora; Mustelidae
Description: lncRNA (ENSMPUG00000023889.1)
Source: RNAcentral
UGGGGGGAUGCUAGCUACUAUGUCAUGAGGACACUCAAGCAACCCUAUGAAGAGGUCCACGUGGUUAAGAACUGAGACUUCCUGCCAACAACCAUGUUAAGCCUCUCACUAAGAUGGAGUCCUGGAGUAACUUGACAUAUAUCAAGCACCAAGUUUCAAAGAGAACCAGGACAUUGUCAUGAAGGCUUCUGACAAGAAUAGAAAACUAGCACUAAAGGAGAUGAAAUAAACACUAGUAUGGGAUAACAAUUUGUGGG